GGCGCUCGGGCCCCGGUGAUUGGGGCGCUAUUUUGCUCCGGCUCCCUCCGGCAGCUGUUGCUGUUCUUUACCCGGCAGAGCCGGGGCCGCCCCGGGGCUGCAGCCGAGGAGGAGGCGGCGGCCGACCCCAGGAGCUGUGCUGGUCUGGGACAGAUGCCAACGCUCCGGUGAGCAGCCACAGCCUCGGGGAGAGCGGCGGAGCCCAUGACCCGGAGCAGCCCGAGGCGGGGACAGGAGCCGGACAUGGCCCGAGCCAGCCCCGCCCGGCGGGGACAGGAAAGCGGCGGGAGAAGAAGCGGGGAGAGAAGGGGGAGCCAAGGGCAGCGCUGCCGGC
Molecule: long non-coding RNA, 334 nt
Filed under: Taeniopygia guttata (zebra finch)
Lineage: Eukaryota; Metazoa; Chordata; Aves; Passeriformes; Estrildidae
Description: lncRNA (ENSTGUG00000019989.1)
Source: RNAcentral